This is a long non-coding RNA of Sus scrofa (pig), 2865 nucleotides long. RefSeq lists it as uncharacterized. The record is from RefSeq and is a predicted model, not a curated record. NCBI's taxonomy places the organism in Eukaryota, Metazoa, Chordata, Mammalia, Artiodactyla, Suidae.
CUGGAUUUAAAAUAAAGCAAAAGCUCUGCAGUAUUUAAACAGAGAGGCACUCGGAAGUACCGUGUCUGGGAGGGGUGCCACAGGAGACCAAGUGGGAGUUCCCAGAGCACCUAUGCCAUUUGGCAAUGGGAUUUUUUCUUAGUAAAUAUGGGAAUAUGUGUGUGUAUGUGGAAGAGGAACUUACUGGAGGUCCUUCUCAUGGCUGUGGCAAUGUGCAUGUCCACUAGCUUUGUGAAAUGCAGAUGGAGUAUAAUUUUCCCCAAAUUGAUCUGUUCUACAUCAUUGAGUUUCAGCUAUUUGCAUUUUAAAGCCAGAAUCAAAUUUAGCUUAUGAUUAUUGUUGUGGAAAAUCAUUAUAAUCCUUUAAUUGUCAUGGCUCUUGAUGAUUUUUUAAAAAUUCACAAAUGUUAUUUAAUUCCAUAUUCACUAUGACAUAGGACAUUGAGCAGAGUAGGAACUAUCAAAUGUGUCUCCAACUUCAAACUGCCCCUCUUUUUCAGUUGGGAAAUUAAGGUUCUCAAUGGUUAGCUGAUGUGCCCCUGGCCAUACUGAUGUAAGUUAUAGAAGCAGGAACAGAAACCAGAGUGAAUGGCUCUGCCCUGUCCUGAGUUCUGUCCCAUCAAGAUGAGUCUUCAAAGUCUGUCAAGUGGGUGUGAUUAGCUUUGCCUUGCAGGCUCACUGUCUGUGUCAUGUAUAUGUAGGCUAGGUGGCACAGGGUGCCCAGUUGCUCCUGUCUCUUCCCAUCUCCAUGCAAUGGCAGGUGCCAUUUGGAGAUCAGAAAGCCUCCGGGGCUGAGAUGAGAGAACAAAAAGCCUUCCUCUUAACCAGCCUGAAAGCCAAGGGGCAACGCAUGUGCGUGUACAUACAUACACACACACAUACACACAAACACACCUGCCAGCAUGCACUAUGAAUAUACAUGCAUGUGUCAGGGGAAGAGCACCUCUCUGAAUUUCAAAGCUCCAGUAGGUUAAGAAAACAUCUCUUCUCAUCUGCUUCUGUUCCAUCUCUACAAUCAGCUCCAUAAAGGCUCCACCACCCAAGUACAUUCAUGACAACCCACUUUCCAGAUCUAAAUGAUACAACUCCUCCAAGUCCUUGGCUUUCAUUGUCAAUUGGUUCUUCCAUUUGCCUGCUGACUGACGCACACAGUUUUUGGCAUCCUCCAGUCCUGAAGACUCUGCUGGGUGUAUCCUUCCUGUCCAGUGGUCGUUUUUAGCUGGAAGUUGGGUAAAAAGAUGUAGCAAUAGCCAGGAUAGUGUCUCUUUGUGCCUCUCACCCCCUUAGCAAGCUCAGCUGGAGUGGCACUCACAGGAUGUUCCCACUGUGGCCUCCUCUCCCACGCUGGACUCCAGGGCUGGAACCAACCUUUGCCAUCACCUGGUCCAACCCCCUUCUUUUACAGACAAGGGGUUCCAGCCUUAAUUCUGGACCUAAGCUACCUGAGAGAGGUAUUUUUAUUCAUUGGUCAUGGGACAUCUAGAUAAACCAGGCCUUAUUUACCCAUCUGCAGUGCCUUGGGAAAGAGUCAGAGUUCCCCCACCUUUCAGUGAGAAAUUGUUUUCAGAUGCGAGUAACAAAGACGACUGAGGCCAUUUGAACAAACAGCCUGGGGCAGCUGUCUAGAGGUCCCUUUCAAGGCCUCAGGACCCCAGGGCUGUUUUCUGUCUUUCCCUCGAGCUGUUACCUCAGGUUCUCAAGAGGAUGGCUGCACCUCCAGGUGUGUGUCUGCAUAUCAGCCAGGAAGAAGAAGGCAAGAGGAGGGGACAUUGCUACAAACUUCUCACAUCUCAUUGGCCUAUACUGUGACUCUGCCAAAUGGCUUCUCUGGCUAUGGGAACCUGCUCUCUCUGAGCAGGCCAGAGAGACAGGACUGCCCCUGAUCCCCUCCCCAGGGGCAGCCCUCUACUAAUCAGUAACUGAUAGCAAUUGGUGGAUCACUACCCCAGCUCCCUUGCCCUUUGGGGUAAUGGUGGAUAAUGUCAGGACAUUGGUGCUACACUGUCCCGAAGCGGAAUUAAGCUUCAGUUUUGCCCACUUGUCUGAUAGUGCAUCUCCUGUUGGUUUACUUUCCUUCCUUGCCCACUCGCCUGCUGGUGCUUGUUGGGAUCACCUCCCAAUCAAACUGCUUGCACUAGAGCUGCUCUUUUAGGGUAAGUUUCUGCAGAAGAAACCAAACUAAGAUGAGGAGGAAGCCCAGGAUCAUAAAGUUAAGGAAAUUGUCCAGGGUUGCCAGUUAAUAAGUGGGCAGCCAGGAUUCAAGUCUGGGUCUCACAGAUUCCAAGCUUGACUUCUGAGCUUCUACCCUGAACCAUGACUGUCUGACAGCCCCUGCAUCAAAGGGGGACCACAGCAAAGCAGGGCUACCUUCAAGCUGAAAAAGGAUUUGGCUGCUCUUGGCCUCCCUCAAGUGUCAGAAACUGCAGGAACAGCUGGGGGACAGUUUUGAAUUCUCCUCCACCUCCACCUUUAGCUCAAGGCUCAUGAAAGCUAUCAAAGGAAAAAUCAGGCCCUCCCUGGAAGCUGUUUCCCUUCUUUGCGGUCUACAGUACAGUCAGCAUGGCUUCUCCUACCUUGGCCUUCUACCCAAAGUCCCUCUGGAAGGGAACAGAGCAGAUGCUGGUUCCCUGGGGCUCUGCUCAGAAAAUGGGCUCAUCGGGGAAGGGUGACAGAGAACACACUGUGUUCCUUCCCAGGGAAGAGCAAGUCCCACCUGGCAAAGUCUUCCAAGGCUGAGGGAACAAGUACAGACUCUCCCCACAGGCAUGUCCUCCUACAGCUGGCCCUCACUAAUGCAAUCUUCAAGACUCAGGACGAACAUUCCUGGGGUGAGGGGGGGUGGAGGCAGAUGACACAUGCUAAACUC